RNAcentral lists this long non-coding RNA (677 nucleotides) under Homo sapiens (human). Its description in RNAcentral is "HSALNT0361552". The record is from RNAcentral. Lineage: Eukaryota; Metazoa; Chordata; Mammalia; Primates; Hominidae.
GUCUACUCCCUUAGAAAAUUGUUGAGUGGCAGGCGUGGGGCGGUGGCUCACGCCUGUAAUCCCAGCACUGUGGGAGGCCGAGGCGGGCAGAUCACGAGAUUCCUAGUUCUGUCUGAGAAUGAGCUGAAAUCUGUCUCCAGGUGACUUCUGCUCCCAGGUGACUUCUGCUCCCAGGUGACUUCUACCUAUGGGUUGUUGCUCUGACCUUGGACCUACAUAGAAUAAGCUACCCCUGAGCUUCCUCCAGGUCUGGACACGUGAGCAGCCAUCUCAUCAGAGUGGAGAAUGAAACUUGACACACAGAGUGAGUGCCUAUCACUAUCUAAGCUUCCAGGUAAAAUAUGCAGCAAAAACCUUGGUCCAGAUAAUCACCACGUUCUGAAGAUGAAAAAUAACAGCUGUCUUUGGUACUCAUUUGCUUGUAAAAACUUUUCUCUAAGAAAAUCUUGUGAAGUCCUAUACGUUUGAAAUGUACUUGUUCCAUGAUCUUUGAAAUAAAUGCUUAAGAACCAUGAAAUUACUUUGGGUGAGGGUGGGGGGAUGUGUUGAUUAUUUGAUUGCAAACAAUUUUGUUCAUUUAACUAUUCAUUAACAUAAAAAGAUGAAAAAUUCUUGGAACAUAUUUUGCAUAGAUUUAGAACUUAAAGAAUUUAAUCAAAAGUAAAUAUAACCUUGAG